Molecule: long non-coding RNA, 800 nt
Filed under: Struthio camelus australis
Lineage: Eukaryota; Metazoa; Chordata; Aves; Struthioniformes; Struthionidae
Description: lncRNA (ENSSCUG00000015029.1)
Source: RNAcentral
GCCGGCCGCGCCGCGCUGAGGCGCCCUGCGGGCUGCGGCCUCCGCGCUUCCCUCCUUCUGUCUUUUCUGCCCUUUUGGUUUAAUUUCUUAGGCUUCGAGAGAAAACGCAGGCGCGCCGCGGAGGGAAGGCCUGAGACCAGGGAGCAAUCCCUGCGGCUGAUGGCAACCACAGAAAACUCUUCCUGCAGAAGCUACCUGCUGAUUCAGGAAAGAAGAGAUUCCAUAAUUCUUUGUGAUUAAUUUCACUUUAAAAAUGAACAAAAGAGAGUAGAACAACAGUGGCUCACUGCUAGAGUUGUCUGGAGAAAAAUCGCAAAAAGCAUGGAUUGUGUCAAUUCUUGCUGGUGCAGCUGCAUACACUAAUGAAUUGGCUUGCUGUUUGCAUACAGUUAACACCAAACACCACCAGGUGUCCUCUGUUACUGUUUCAAGUCUGGAUUACCUCCUGGAGAAUCUUGCCGGCAGGCUGGAGCAGCAAGGGACCAAGGAGGAAGGAAUCUGCAGGUUCUUUCCUGCAGACAUCAAGCAGAAAAUAAAGGGCGCAGCCCAGAAGAGCCGCUCCGCUUGCAGUGAGCGGGGAGCUGCCAUCAUGUGCCAGCAGAAGGGCUGCCGCCGCAGCUUCCACCUCCCAUGCGACUCCGAGCACGGCUGCCUCACAGUUUUUCAAGGAGUACAGCUCCUUCUGCUCGGACCGUCACCCCGAGCAGGCAGCACAGCUGUCUCCAGAAGCAGAAACCACCUGCAUGAUCUGCAUGGAGCAGGUGGAGGAAAACCUCUCCUUUGGCACCACGGUGUGCCCU